RNAcentral lists this ribosomal RNA (373 nucleotides) under uncultured organism. RNAcentral describes it as "partial 16S ribosomal RNA". It matches the Rfam family "Bacterial small subunit ribosomal RNA", at positions 527 to 896 of the family's 1533-position model. The record is from RNAcentral.
GUAGGUGGCAAGCGUUGUCCGGAAUUAUUGGGCGUAAAGCGCGCGCAGGUGGUUCUUUAAGUCUGAUGUGAAAGCCCACGGCUCAACCGUGGAGGGUCAUUGGAAACUGGAGAACUUGAGUACAGAAGAGGAAAGCGGAAUUCCACGUGUAGCGGUGAAAUGCGUAGAGAUGUGGAGGAACACCAGUGGCGAAGGCGGCUUUCUGGUCUGUAACUGACGCUGAGGCGCGAAAGCGUGGGGAGCAAACAGGAUUAGAUACCCUGGUAGUCCACGCCGUAAACGAUGAGUGCUAAGUGUUAGGGGGUUUUCCGCCCCCCUUAGUGCUGCAGCUAACGCAUUAAGCACUCCGCCUGGGAGUACGGCCGCAAGGCUG